This is a non-coding RNA of Acanthosepion pharaonis, 113 nucleotides long. The record is from the annotation of a GenBank genome assembly. NCBI's taxonomy places the organism in Eukaryota, Metazoa, Mollusca, Cephalopoda, Sepiida, Sepiidae.
UACGGCCAUGUCACGUUGAACCAUCGAUUCUCGUAUGAUGACCGAAGUUAAGCAACGGCGAGCUUGGUUAGUACUGAGAUGGGUGACCACUUUGGAAUACAAAGUGCUGUAAU